RNAcentral lists this ribosomal RNA (468 nucleotides) under uncultured bacterium. RNAcentral describes it as "partial 16S ribosomal RNA". It matches the Rfam family "Bacterial small subunit ribosomal RNA", at positions 28 to 507 of the family's 1533-position model. The record is from RNAcentral.
GACGAACGCUGGCGGCGUGCUUAACACAUGCAAGUCGAACGGAAAGGCCCUGCUUUUGUGGGGUGCUCGAGUGGCGAACGGGUGAGUAACACGUGAGUAACCUGCCCUUGACUUUGGGAUAACUUCAGGAAACUGGGGCUAAUACCGGAUAGGAGCUCCUGCUGCAUGGUGGGGGUUGGAAAGUUUCGGCGGUUGGGGAUGGACUCGCGGCUUAUCAGCUUGUUGGUGGGGUAGUGGCUUACCAAGGCUUUGACGGGUAGCCGGCCUGAGAGGGUGACCGGCCAAAUUGGGACUGAGAUACGGCCCAGACUCCUACGGGAGGCAGCAGUGGGGAAUAUUGCACAAUGGGCGGAAGCCUGAUGCAGCAACGCCGCGUGCGGGAUGACGGCCUUCGGGUUGUAAACCGCUUUCGCCUGUGACGAAGCGUGAGUGACGGUAAUGGGUAAAGAAGCACCGGGUAACUACGUG